This 596-nucleotide long non-coding RNA is filed under the name Homo sapiens (human). Its description in RNAcentral is "HSALNT0139745". Lineage: Eukaryota; Metazoa; Chordata; Mammalia; Primates; Hominidae. The record is from RNAcentral.
GUGAGUAACUGCAAGCUACAGGGGGCAGCUUACGUAUGGCACACAGGGUGGGGCUAGCUUGGUUUCAUAGGCUCUCUGUGGAUUGGAUGAUUUAAAUAAUUUUGGUGGGCCCUGGGGUUUAGGGACUGUCCCUAGUUGUUUGGUGCUAGGUCCCAGGGCAGAUUAGGGCAGAUGUGAGUGUGAGAGCAUGAUAAGGAAAGUCUUCAAGGUGUGGAAUUACUCAACUGCUGGAGAAAGGGAAUUUAUCAGCCUUUAGCCAGGGCCUCAAACUGGGUCAAGACAGCACAAUUACAAAAAAAAAGAAAAAAAAAAACAGAAUAAGAAAGAAAAGAAAACCCUAUAUUGUAGACUAAGAGACUAUUUCUGUGCAUAAAUACCCUCAUAAACAUUACAAACCAAAAGAUGGAGGUAAUCACCAAGAGCCAGCAUUGGUUCAUUAAGAAUGAAUGAUGCAAAUUUUGUGUUUUAGAUCAGGAGUCCCCUGAUCUAACAGGUCACAGUACAGGUCCCUAGCCUGUUAGGAACAGGGCUGUACAGCAGGAGGUGAGCAGCAGGCCAGCGAGGGAAGCUUCAUCUGUAUUUACAGCUGCUCCCCA